Molecule: non-coding RNA, 1282 nt
Organism: Dunckerocampus dactyliophorus (ringed pipefish)
Lineage: Eukaryota; Metazoa; Chordata; Actinopteri; Syngnathiformes; Syngnathidae
Source: the annotation of a RefSeq genome assembly
CCAGUGGGAGGCGCUGUUCAACAUGCACAUGACCACCUCUGACUGUGUGUGUGUGUGUGUGUGUAUGUGUGUGAAGCACCUGCCUCAGUGGGAUUAGGCCCUGCCUCCUCAGCCACCAAGUCAGCGUACACGCAGCCCUGGAAUGCAGACAUGAAGCGUACGCUGGUGUGUGUGCUGAUGGUUGCCUGGAGCCUCGGAAGUGGCGCCCAGACAGUCAACCAGCCAACAGUGGACAUGCAUGUAGUGAAGAGCAAUGUCGUGAUGCUGGACUGUAGUUACGAAGGCACCAGUUCUGCCAACUACUAUAUCUUCUGGUACAAAAAGAAUGGCCAGGCGGCACCAGAGUUCAUCUUGAGCCGCUUUGUGAGCAGUCAGGAAAAGACGGUGAGCAGCUUUGACAAGAGGUUCAGCUGCAGCAUGAACGCCAGUGCCCAGCGAGCUCCUCUGGUGAUCGAAGACGUGCAGCUGAACGACUCCGCCAUCUUCUACUGCGCCCUGAAGCCCACAGUGACUGACAGCUCUGCUGCACAUGCACAAAAACUCCUGUACUCCCCUCAAGUCAGAGGUCUCAUGGUGGCAUCACCUCACAGAUAAUUUUUUUUUCACUGUUUCAAAGCUGGUUCGGAGUUGGUUGUCAUAGCUUUUGUUGUCCAUUGCCACGGUAUUAGGAGUGUGGAACCUUACCACAUGUACGUGUAUACAUAUACAGUAUAUGUGCAUGUAUGUAAAUAUGAGUUUGGAUGCAGUAGUAAUAUUAAACCAGGAUAAUUAAUGAAAAAAACAAUAAUAAAAGUGAUAUAAUAAUACGUAAUGAUAAAUGUUAUUUACCUUUGAAGAGGAGUGGUCGAACAUACGUUGUUGUGGAGGAGCUGGAGGAGGAGAUAUUGGAAAAAAAGGACAAAUGGUCGUCGUCGUUAGACUCUUCUAAAAGAGGUAGUGUUCUGUGGGUGGUGUAGAAUUAAGCAGGCUUAUUAACUCUUCAGAAACUUUAAUCACACGCUCUGUCUGGGUUGUAUAAUUUAGCUUUCCACUUAGCUUUAUCUCCCCAGCGUCUAACUCUUGCUCUGUGGGUCUCAUUAGUUCAAAUGGCUUCCUCUGUUGGUCCCAUUAGAAGUGUCACAGCGCCCUCUACUGGUCAAGCAUGUACAGUAGCAGUAUAAAUACAGAUUGAGCGACUACAAGGCAAAAUAAAAUAAAAGAUAGACCAGUCGGCUUGUGUUCGUAUCCAUGAGUGUUCGCUAGUUGGGUGUUCGUAAGUUGGGGACCUAGUGUAUAAUGAAUG